GACGAACGCUGGCGGCGUGCCUAAUACAUGCAAGUCGAACGCUUCUUUCCUCCCGAGUGCUUGCACUCAAUUGGAAAGAGGAGUGGCGGACGGGUGAGUAACACGUGGGUAACCUACCCAUCAGAGGGGGAUAACACUUGGAAACAGGUGCUAAUACCGCAUAACAGUUUAUGCCGCAUGGCAUAAGAGUGAAAGGCGCUUUCGGGUGUCGCUGAUGGAUGGACCCGCGGUGCAUUAGCUAGUUGGUGAGGUAACGGCUCACCAAGGCGACGAUGCAUAGCCGACCGGAGAGGGGGAUAGGCCACACGAGGACGGAGACGCGGCCAAGACGACUACGGGAGGGAGCAGUAGGGAAUGGUAGGCAAUGGUCGAAAGUAUGACCGAGCAAGGCCGCGUGAGAGAAGAAGGUGUUCGGAUCGUAAAACUCUGUUGUUAGUGAAGAACAGGGACGUUAGGAACUGAACGGCGCCUGACGGUAUCUAACCAGAAAGCCACGGCUAACUACGUG
This 508-nucleotide ribosomal RNA is filed under the name uncultured bacterium. Its description in RNAcentral is "partial 16S ribosomal RNA". It matches the Rfam family "Bacterial small subunit ribosomal RNA", at positions 28 to 507 of the family's 1533-position model. The record is from RNAcentral.